Molecule: small RNA, 148 nt
Filed under: Macaca fascicularis (crab-eating macaque)
Lineage: Eukaryota; Metazoa; Chordata; Mammalia; Primates; Cercopithecidae
Description: Metazoan signal recognition particle RNA (ENSMFAG00000047746.1)
Source: Rfam by way of RNAcentral
GCCGGGCAUGGUGGCGCACGCUUGUAAUCCCAGCUACUCAGGAGGCUGAGGCAGGAGAAUUGCUUGAAUCUGGGAGGCGGGGGUUGCAGUGAGCCGAGAUUGCGCCACUGCACUCCAGCCUGAGUGACAGAGCAAGACUCUGUCUCAA